This 292-nucleotide ribosomal RNA is filed under the name uncultured bacterium. RNAcentral describes it as "partial 16S ribosomal RNA". It matches the Rfam family "Bacterial small subunit ribosomal RNA", at positions 505 to 796 of the family's 1533-position model. The record is from RNAcentral.
GUGCCAGCAGCCGCGGUAACACGUAGGAUCCGAGCGUUAUCCGAAUUUACUGGGCGUAAAGCGCGUGUAGGCGGUUUGGUAAGUUGGAUGUGAAAGCUCCCGGCUCAACUGGGAGAGGCCGUUCAAAACUACCAGACUUGAGGACGGUAGAGGGAAGUGGAAUUCCCGGUGUAGUAGUGAAAUGCGUAGAUAUCGGGAGGAACACCAGUGGCGAAAGCGGCUUCCUGGACCGUUUCUGACGCUCAGACGCGAAAGCUAGGGGAGCGAACGGGAUUAGAAACCCCAGUAGUCC